GUGGGGAAUAUUGGACAAUGGGCGAAAGCCUGAUCCAGCCAUGCCGCGUGUGUGAAGAAGGUCUUCGGAUUGUAAAGCACUUUAAGUUGGGAGGAAGGGCAGUAAGUUAAUACCUUGCUGUUUUGACGUUACCGACAGAAUAAGCACCGGCUAACUUCGUGCCAGCAGCCGCGGUAAUACGAAGGGUGCAAGCGUUAAUCGGAAUUACUGGGCGUAAAGCGCGCGUAGGUGGUUUUGUAAGUUGGAGGUGAAAUCCCCGGGCUCAACCUGGGAACUGCCUCCAAAACUGCAUGACUAGAGUACGGUAGAGGGUAGUGGAAGUUCCUGUGUAGCGGUGAAAUGCGUAGAUAUAGGAAGGAACACCAGUGGCGAAGGCGACUACCUGGACUGAUACUGACACUGAGGUGCGAAAGCGUGGGGAGCAAACAGGAUUAGAAACCCGGGUAGUCC
RNAcentral lists this ribosomal RNA (450 nucleotides) under uncultured bacterium. RNAcentral's name for it is "bacterial SSU rRNA". It matches the Rfam family "Bacterial small subunit ribosomal RNA", at positions 354 to 796 of the family's 1533-position model. The record is from RNAcentral.